AUUCAUUCUCUCUAUUCGUCCGUAAGAAGAAGAAAAACAAGAGGAAGAAGAGAUGGGAGCAGUAGCUGGUGGUGAAGAAAAAGAUAUUGGUGCACAGAUCGCACCUAUCAUUAAACUUGAAAAAGUUUACAACUGAAAAGAGAAAUUGUACCGAUUUGAUAAAAAUAAAAAUCAAUAGAAAGAGGAGUUAGAACUUUGAAGCUUCUUAAACAUAAACAGAAUGGGAAAGUUGGGUCGGUUAUGAGACAAUCUAAGCCAUUCAAGAUCUAUGCUAAUCAUCUAGCCUAAUUUGGUCUUCCAUAAUGUAUUUACUCCACUUCAGGCAUCUCCAUUCCGAGUAUUGGAAAUGUGCAGAGCAUUUAAUUACUGAAGGCAGGUGCUGACCAAAAUUUUGGACCAUAGGGAGUUAAAGCUUUGCUACUUGCAGCACCUGAAGGGAUAACACAAAUCGUCAAGCUACUGGUUGAAGCUGGUGGAGAUCCAAAUGUGACAAAUAUCGUAAGCUAAUUAUAGUUUGGCACGGACUAAAACCAAUAGAGGCUGCAGCUGUUCACAAUCAUCGCCGUACUAUUGAGAUUCUUUUACCCGUGACUUCUCCUAUUCCAUCAUAUGUGGACUGGAGCAUAAAUGGAAUAAUAAAGCAUGUAAAUUCUAAGGAGUUCGAAAAAAAGAUAACUCGAAAAGCAAAUGAGACUUUUCUUGAGGAAAAAUCAAGAGGCGCCAGCGCAUUACAGAGAAAGGAGUACUGGCUGGAAGUAUAUUGGUACUCAGAGGUCAGUAAAACUGCGAACCAAUUGAUUCUGACAUGUAAAAGUAACGGGAAGUCUAGGGUGCACACUUUCACAAACUUAUCAAAAACGGGGAUAAGGAACCUGUGCAACGAGAUAUGCUACUAAGCCUGUUGAACAUUUUAUGAUAUUUGUAGUCAUGACAAUGUUGUGCUUUAGAAAUUAAAAAAACGGGUGGGAUUUCUUUCUUUCUUUUUUGAAGGGAAAGUGUCACAGUAUGCACUAUCAUUUGUCAUAAAACAAUAUAGGCAAUCCAUGCAGGGAUAUUCAGCCUGAUUAUAAACCUUUCAGGUGUUAUCUUCAUAGGCAUACAAUUAGAACAAGAGUUUGGAUCCUGUAAGAUCAUUUCUGCAUUCUCUUUAUCUCAUAGUGACAAGUUUGAUAUUGUCUAAGCGUAACAUAACCUGCUUUUGUUUUUCUCUUCUAGUUUGCAGUGAGGAUCGGGAUAAUCUACUUAUGAGAAGGUUGUACUGGUAGUUUGAUGUCUCCGCUUUUCGUUCAAGAUAUCCCGGAAGUUGGGUCUUCUGAUGCUUUAUUCGGUUUACUUGGUGAGAUGCUCUCAGGACUUAUCAGGAAUUGGAAUAUUUAUAGCGACAAGUUCACAUCAUUGGUAGUACUAUGUGGUGUGAUUGGAAUGUUAAUGGUGGAGAUAAAGGAAACUAUAUAGCCGUAAGCAUAUUAGAUCCAGCUAUCGAAAUAUGGGAUCUCAACCUUGGCCCAUUGAGCGUGCCAGAAGUGUACAUCAUCAUCAAAGGUACCAUUGGAUCUAAUGCAGAAUGGGUACAUCAUAUGCCUAGCUCUAACUGAAGGUGAGCAAAAAACCUGACCAAAUGUGCAUCAUCAAUCUGAAGAAACCCAAUCCAAAAAUCGUCGCAAAGGAAGAGAUGGGAUGGAAGAAAGUAAAUUUCAUUGGAGCAGCAUGGGCAGGUACUUCCUGUAUUUGUAUUUCAGUGACUUUUUUUCGCCUUAGAGGCCUCCAGCAAUGUAGAGUUCAUUUUCCUUUAAAACAUUUUGUAAGACUUUUUUUUUUUUUUGAAAGCAUUGUAAG
Molecule: long non-coding RNA, 1836 nt
Organism: Papaver somniferum (opium poppy)
Lineage: Eukaryota; Viridiplantae; Streptophyta; Magnoliopsida; Ranunculales; Papaveraceae
Exons: 12
Source: RefSeq, a predicted model, not a curated record